Molecule: ribosomal RNA, 491 nt
Filed under: uncultured bacterium
Lineage: Bacteria
Description: partial 16S ribosomal RNA
Rfam family: Bacterial small subunit ribosomal RNA
Source: RNAcentral
GUGAACGCUGGCGGUAGGCCUAACACAUGCAAGUCGAACGGCAGCACAGUAAGAGCUUGCUCUUACGGGUGGCGAGUGGCGGACGGGUGAGGAAUACAUCGGAAUCUACUUUUUCGUGGGGGAUAACGUAGGGAAACUUACGCUAAUACCGCAUACGACCUACGGGUGAAAGCAGGGGAUCUUCGGACCUUGCGCGAUUGAAUGAGCCGAUGUCGGAUUAGCUAGUUGGCGGGGUAAAGGCCCACCAAGGCGACGAUCCGUAGCUGGUCUGAGAGGAUGAUCAGCCACACUGGAACUGAGACACGGUCCAGACUCCUACGGGAGGUAGCAGUGGGGAAUAUUGGACAAUGGGCGCAAGCCUGAUCCAGCCAUACCGCGUGGGUGAAGAAGGCCUUCGGGUUGUAAAGCCCUUUUGUUGGGAAAGAAAAGCAGCAGGUUAAUACCCCGCUGUUCUGACGGUACCCAAAGAAUAAGCACCGGCUAACUUCGUG